GGUAGUGACAGAAAUAACAAUACGGGGCUUAAUGUCUUGUAAUUGGAAUGAUGGYAAUUUAAACCUCUUCCAGAGUAUCAAUUGGAGGGCAAGUCUGGUGCCAGCAGCCGCGGUAAUUCCAGCUCCAAUAGCGUAUAUUAAAAUUGUUGCAGUUAAAAAGCUCGUAGUUGAAUUUCUGCUGCAUUUCAUUUCUCUUUCUGAGUUUGUUUUUGCGGCUUAUUUCGGUUUGAUUUUUUCUUUCCGGAUGAUUACUUUGAGAAAAUUAGAGUGCUCAAAGCAGGCUUUUGCCUUGAAUAGUUUAGCAUGGAAUAAUAAAGUAGGACUUUGGUUCUAUUUUGUUGGUUUUAGGUACCAAAGUAAUGGUUAAUAGGAACAGUUGGGGGCAUUCGUAUUUAACUGUCAGAG
Molecule: ribosomal RNA, 405 nt
Filed under: Theileria sp.
Lineage: Eukaryota; Apicomplexa; Aconoidasida; Piroplasmida; Theileriidae
Description: SSU rRNA
Rfam family: Eukaryotic small subunit ribosomal RNA
Source: RNAcentral